Molecule: non-coding RNA, 1552 nt
Organism: Micropterus salmoides (largemouth bass)
Lineage: Eukaryota; Metazoa; Chordata; Actinopteri; Centrarchiformes; Centrarchidae
Source: the annotation of a RefSeq genome assembly
GAAUUGACUCUCUUAACUGUGGCAACUGGGGUGCUUUUGACUACUGGGGAAAAGGCACUAUGGUAACAGUGUCAUCAGCCAAUCCAACUGCACCAACUGUGUUUCCCCUGAUGCAAUGUGGUUCUGGGACUGGAGACUUGGUCACUCUCGGCUGCCUUGCCACCGGCUUCACACCCUCCUCACUGACCUACACAUGGAGCAAAAAUGGGGCUGCCUUGACGGACUUCAUUCAGUACCCUCCAGUACAGAAAGGGAACGUUUAUACGGGAGUCAGUCAAAUCCGAGUGAGGAGACAGGACUGGGACGCAAGGCAGACUUUCAAAUGUGCCGUGACACAUCCAGCAGGAAAUGCAGAGGCUGAUGUUACACGACCACUGGUGAUUUGUAAAUUGCCAACUCUAGUGUUGGCCUCCUCUGAGAAGGAAAACGAGGUUACCUUCUCCUGCUUGGCCAAAGAUUUUUCACCAAAUGAUUAUGAGUUCAAAUGGCUGAAAAAUGAAGAGGAUAUCCCCAACAAAAUAUACAAGAUCAAAACACCUUCUUGGGAUAGAAACUAUGAGAACGGAACUAAGGUGUACAGUGCAGCAAGUUUUCUUGCAGUACCACCCAGUGAGUGGACUGAGGACAGUAAGUUCACAUGUGUGUUUGAGGGGAAAUGUGAAGGUCAAAACACAUUUGUGAAUUCAUCCCUGACCUACAGAGAUACAACUCCACCUGAACAAUGCGAAGGUCAAGUGGAUAUAAAGAUCACUGGCCCCAAAUUGGAAGACAUCUUUUCAAAUAGAAAAGGAACUUUAGAAUGUCAUGUCACGGCAAACAAGCCAUCUGUCGAAAAGAUAUUCUGGGAGGACCACAACGGAAAGGAAAUGGCUGAUGCCUCAAUGACCCCCCCUAAAGGAAGUGUAGGCCCAUUCACCCUGCCACUUGAAAUCUCUUAUGAUGAAUGGAGCAAGGGGGUGAAACGCGUCUGCAUUGUUGAACACACAGAGGUGAUUGACCCAGUAAAGCAACUCUAUCAAAGGAGAAAUGGAGGACAGACUCAGCGUCCUUCAGUGUUCAUGCUGCCUCCAGUAGAACAUACUAGAAAAGAAAUGGUGACCCUGACUUGCUAUGUGAAAGACUUCUAUCCUCAAGAGGUUUUGGUGUCUUGGCUUGUUGAUGACGAGGAAGCAGACUCAAAGUACAAGUUCUAUACCACAAACCCUGUAGAAAACAAUGGAUCUUAUUCUGCUUAUGGCCAGUUAUCACUCAGCCUUGAGCAGUGGAAAAAGAAUGACGUGGUGUAUAGCUGUGUAGUUUACCACGAGUCUCUGGUUAACACAACUAAAGCUAUUGUCAGGUCCAUCGGGCAGAGAACAUUUGAAAAAACCAACCUGGUCAACCUCAACAUGAACAUCCCUGAAACGUGCAAGGCCUAGUAGAUGUUGUUUUGUGUCGUUGUGUCUUCUGUUGUUUGUUGUUUAAUGUUUGUUGCUUGUGAUAUGACAUUUUGUUUGUCUUCUUAAUGCAAAAUAAAAAAUAAAAAAAUGCCCUUUGCAACUCUGUUGAUGUA